Molecule: transfer RNA, 67 nt
Filed under: Marmota monax (woodchuck)
Lineage: Eukaryota; Metazoa; Chordata; Mammalia; Rodentia; Sciuridae
Description: tRNA.Val
Source: RNAcentral
GGUCGUGGCUCAGUGGUUGAGUGCUUACCUCACAUGUGUGAGGCACUUGGUUCAAUUCUCAGCACCA